RNAcentral lists this ribosomal RNA (492 nucleotides) under uncultured bacterium. RNAcentral describes it as "partial 16S ribosomal RNA". It matches the Rfam family "Bacterial small subunit ribosomal RNA", at positions 29 to 507 of the family's 1533-position model. The record is from RNAcentral.
AGUGAACGCUGGCGGUAGGCCUAACACAUGCAAGUCGAACGGCAGCACAGUAAGAGCUUGCUCUUACGGGUGGCGAGUGGCGGACGGGUGAGGAAUACAUCGGAAUCUACUUUUUCGUGGGGGAUAACGUAGGGAAACUUACGCUAAUACCGCAUACGACCUACGGGUGAAAGCAGGGGAUCUUCGGACCUUGCCCGAUUGAAUGAGCCGAUGUCGGAUUAGCUAGUUGGCGGGGUAAAGGCCCACCAAGGCGACGAUCCGUAGCUGGUCUGAGAGGAUGAUCAGCCACACUGGAACUGAGACACGGUCCAGACUCCUACGGGAGGCAACAGUGGGGAAUAUUGGAGAAUGGGCGCAAGCCUGAUCCAGCCAUACCGCGUGGGUGAAGAAGGCCUUCGGGUUGUAAAGCCCUUUUGUUGGGAAAGAAAAGCAGCAGGUUAAUACCCCGCUGUUCUGACGGUACCCAAAGAAUAAGCACCGGCUAACUUCGUG